UACGGAGGAUGCAAGCGUUAUCCGGGAUUUACUGGGUUUAAAGGGUGCGCAGGCGGAACGACAAGUCAGUGGUGAAAUCUCCUGGCUCAACCAGGAAACUGCCAUUGAUACUAUCGUUCUUGAGUCCAGUUGAAGUAGGCGGAAUGUAGCAUGUAGCGGUGAAAUGCUUAGAUAUGCUACAGAACACCGAUAGCGAAGGCAGCUUACUAAAACUGAAACUGACGCUCAUGCACGAAAGCGUGGGGAGUCAAACA
RNAcentral lists this ribosomal RNA (254 nucleotides) under uncultured prokaryote. RNAcentral describes it as "partial 16S ribosomal RNA". It matches the Rfam family "Bacterial small subunit ribosomal RNA", at positions 524 to 775 of the family's 1533-position model. The record is from RNAcentral.